GCCCCCGUAGCUCAGGCGGAUAGAGCAGUGGUUUCCUAAACCAUGUGCGCGUGUUCGAGUCACGCCGGGGGUA
Molecule: transfer RNA, 73 nt
Filed under: Anaerolineae bacterium
Lineage: Bacteria; Bacillati; Chloroflexota; Anaerolineae
Description: tRNA-Arg
Rfam family: tRNA
About the family: Transfer RNA (tRNA) molecules are approximately 80 nucleotides in length.
Source: RNAcentral